RNA transcript from Drosophila subobscura, 3907 nucleotides. RefSeq lists it as uncharacterized. The transcript is spliced from 8 exons. The record is from RefSeq and is a predicted model, not a curated record. Lineage: Eukaryota; Metazoa; Arthropoda; Insecta; Diptera; Drosophilidae.
ACUUAAAAUCGUAGAAGAAAAGCCAACAACCAAAAUGUAUGAGCAUGAUAUGUUUGGAAUGUCGGGCAUUUGAUUGAUUUGUGUCACCAAUAAGCGAAAAACUCAGUCCAAAAAUCACCAAAAACAACAACGGCAACACCAACGACAAGCAGCAACCACCAGCGGAUGCCGAGAGACUGUACGCGGCGCCUCAAGGCCGGCUAACGCUUAACCCCCCCACCACACGCCCCAAGAGGCCCACGCCUCAGCCUAACCCCGACAGCUGCAACCAUGUGAAUGGCCAGAAUGCAAUUAAAACUACUAAACAACUACCACUACCAGCCAGACCAGAGCCCAGUCCACGACUAGAGAGCACAGCGAGAGCAUCUCCUCAGCAGCAGCAGCAGCAGCAGCAGCAGCAGCAGCAGCAGCAGCAGAGCAGCAGGGAGCCAGCCAGAUCCAGCCCGAGGGAGAGCCAGCGUCAUCAUGGCUGGGCCACAGAUACAGCACACCCAACGCCCCAACAGCGCCUACUACACGGGUCUGAAUGGUAGCGGGGGAAGCGGGGGUGGCGGGGGUGGUGGUGCAGCCAGCGCCUCGGGCAUGGCAAGCAGCGCCUCGCACACUGGACUGCACGCCCUGCGCCAGGUGACCAACGAAACGGAGCUCAUCUAUCGAGGAAGCCACAGCAAUGGCACCGUCAACGAGCUGCCCUCCACAGCCGCACAUCAUCAGAUGCUCGCGGGUCGCAUCACCCAGCAGCAGCUGCAGCAGCAGCAGCAGCACCCACAGCAUCAUCCGCAUCAUCAGCAGCAGCAUCACCCACAGCAUCAGCAACAGCAGCAAGUCAGCAGCAUAGCCGGCACCGGAUCGAGUGCCACGGAUGCGCUUAUUGGCACCAUUGCGACAAGUGCCGGUGGAGCAACAGGUGGCGGUGGCGGUGGCGGUGGCAGCAGCAGCAGCAACACGGCGAUAACCGCGCUCGGGCAGCUGAAGAAGUCCAGCACACAGCGCAGCAUUGAGAUAAUUGUGGAUGCAAGCCAGUGUGGCAAGGAGGUGGGCGCAGCAGCGACGCCGCUGGAUCCCGACGAUGUGGAGCAGGGUGGCGGCGGCCAGGAGUCCUCCUCCUCGAUGCGCAAGUCCUCGCGACAUCGCCAUCGGCCGCUCCAUCGACGCCUCAUCAGCUAUCUGCGCAACCUCUUCCAAGGCAGCACAACGCAAACUGCGAUGGCAACUCUUGUGCUGGCCUGGCGCUGCCUCUCCAAGCAUUCGGAGCUGGAGGAAUUCGAGACGCCAGCACGCUACAGACCGGACUCGCUGAGCGCUUUGAGUCGGGCGACCCGCUUCACCGAGGACGAGAUCAAACGAAUUUAUCGCGGCUUUAAGGCUGAGUGCCCCACGGGUGUCGUCAAGGAGGACACCUUCAAAGUGAUCUACUCGCAGUUUUUUCCACAGGGAGCCAACCCAACCUUAUACGCACAUUAUGUAUUUAAUACACUGGACCAGGAUCGCAGCGGUAUUGUCAGCUUUGAGGACUUUGUUCAAGGACUCUCGAUACUGUCGCGCGGCUCGGUGGAGGAGAAGCUUCGCUGGACCUUCUCGCUGUACGACAUCAAUGGCGACGGCUUCAUUACGAGGGAGGAAAUGACUGACAUUGUGACUGCCAUAUACGAGCUGAUGGGCCGCCUGCCCGACGAGUGUCCCGAGGAGGAGAAGAUCAAGGGCAAGGUGGAGCAAAUCUUUCAGAAAAUGGAUAUCAACCGUGAUGGUGUUGUGACGCUUGAGGAGUUCCUCGAGGCCUGUCGCAAUGAUGACGCCAUUUCCAGAUCCAUGUCCGUAUUUGAUACAUCAUUCUGACCAUAUCCGACGGACAAGGGCGAUGAGUAUACGGUGCGAAGGCCGCGACGCAGUCGCAGUCGCAGUCGCAGCCAGCAGCAGCAGAGGCAGCAGCAGCGACAGGGGCCGGAGAAACAAAUUUGCAUAAAAACCAAAUGAUAUGCGCAACGAGAAAAUGCAACGCGACUCUAACAAAUAGAAAGGCAGAAAACUAUCAAAAAGAAAACUAAAACACACAGUAGCCAUGCUCCCAAUGUCCAUAAAUAUGCAAUUAUGGUCUGGAGUGUGGAUGUGUUUAUGCAGCAGCAGCAACCAAAGCUGCAGCAGCGCCAGCCCAGCCAGAACACAGCAACAGCAACAACUCCACUGUCACCUCCCCUGUUCCAUACAUCAUCAAACACUCAAUGAACGAAACCAAACACGCACUGCUUGCAAGCAGUUCUUUCGCUGCUCGACCAUCGGUGGCCACAGGCACAAGCAGUUUCGUUCUCAUUUUUGAAGAAUGGCAAUGCAAAUGCUUUAAGCCCAUGUUCGGCAUGUAAGUACUCCCCUGCCCCCAGCCCAUUCCCAGAAAUGACCCAUUGAAAAUUGAUAUAUGUAAAUGUCUAUGGCAUACCAAACGAAAGCUUUAUACAAUGAAAACUAAAACUAAAACCAUACUCUUAAUGAUUAAAACAGAAAGAUGAAAGUAUAUUGAGAAAAUUGAUUGAAGGAUAAACUAUAUUUAUACGGAGGAGAAAACGAAAAACAAAUAACAAAAAACUGCAACUAACAAAGAGAAAUAUAUACGAUACGAGUAGAUACAUAAAUGAAUUUCGACAUAAUUUAAACGUAAUUGGAACCAUUUUGACUUUCUACUUAAAAUACAAUAACACAAAUGAAAUCCAUUGCAUGUGUAGAUAAAUAAAUGUGAACUUUGUGCUGUCUAAAUCAAAAUAAUGGUAGAGAAACCCCCAUGGAGGCGGAGGACACAGUAGUUCCCCCGGGCAUAUUGUUGAAUUUAUUCCGAUUGGUUGUUGUCUUUCCAUUACCAAAUUAGAGGGAUCGGAGUGGGGGCUGGCGAUGAUGAAUGAAUGAAUAAUGUCUUCUAGCCUGCCAGUACGCACAUGUGUGGGUGUACAUAUCCCACUCAGUGUAACGAAACGUGAGUGCGUCAGAGAGAGUAUUGGAAGCUGAAAGAAAAUCAAAUAAAAACAAAUCUUUGAAUCAGAAAUUGGACCAUAACAGCGUUGCAGCAAUGCAGCAGUGCAUAAGGCAAACAGCAGCUGAAACUAAAACAAAAACAAAAGCAAAAACAAAAAGGAGUAGCAUUAACCGAUGUCCAUGUACAUAUGUAUGUAAAUAUCUACAUAUAAAUGUACAUGUUUACAUCCAUGUACAUGUGUAGUGUGGACAUGUAAUACGAACAAGUAUUUAUCCAGUGAAUUGGUGUGUAAGUGUAAUUUUUUGUAGCUAGAUAUAAUGAACGAAAGACACAGCACACACAAGAGCAACAACCGGCACGAGCUGAAGAAGAAAACUACUAGAAAUAGAAGAGGAAAAGUAUUUAAAUUAAAUUCGAACUGUACAUAGUAUACAAUAUAGUGUGGAUAUGGAUAUGGAAGUGUAAGUGGAAAAUGGUUUUCGUUUGCUUGCAGCUCGCAGUUAAACCUACUAAAGAAUCCUUCUCUAUAUUAACUCUAACUCAAAGUAAUUGUUGCAUUUUGAAACCCCCUAUAUUUACAAUACAUCUAGCUGUGUACUUAGCUGUAGUCUUCCAGGAGUAAACGCAACAGCAAACUUAAACUGAAACAGAAACUGAUACAGAAACCGGAACACACACCGAUGAAACUCUAUUCCACGUAGAUGAUGAGAUGAGAAACCUGUAGCAAAAUUGUACCUUAGCUGAAACACCUCGAAAGCUUUCCAAACUAAAACUAAAACUAACACUAAACCCACAACUACGUUUACUUGAAAACCUUAGCGAAAUGAAAAAACCAACCGGAAUACAAAUUGUAAAACAAUAGCGAAAAGCUCUUUAACAAUAAACGUUGCUGUCAAAAUCAAAGAGUUCAAUAUCAUAAUGGGAUCUACAUACAUACUAUGUAUGUAC